GAUCAGCUCAGUUGGUCAGAGUCUGGUGCUAAUAAUGCCAAGGUCACAGGUUUGAUCCCUAUACAGGCCA
Molecule: transfer RNA, 70 nt
Filed under: Lamprotornis superbus
Lineage: Eukaryota; Metazoa; Chordata; Aves; Passeriformes; Sturnidae
Description: tRNA-OTHER
Source: RNAcentral